This is a long non-coding RNA of Hemicordylus capensis (graceful crag lizard), 610 nucleotides long. RefSeq lists it as uncharacterized. The transcript is spliced from 3 exons. NCBI's taxonomy places the organism in Eukaryota, Metazoa, Chordata, Lepidosauria, Squamata, Cordylidae. The record is from RefSeq and is a predicted model, not a curated record.
CAAGAAGGAAGGUGUUUUAAAGUGUAUUUAAAGCUAGGCAGUGCCUGCCUGGCUUCAUUCUGCCUCUGGAAUUUGGAGGAAGAGAGAGAGCUGCCUUGCCUUGCUGCUGCAUGCCUGCCUUGCUCUGCUGGACCCCCGCUCUGCUGGGUUUUCUUGCCGCAAGACCCCCAGUUGUUGAGUGCCAAUGUGUGCUGCCUGGCCUGAUUGCCCAAGCUCCCUCCUGGUCAAACCUUACCUGAAGAUGUCAGACUGUAAAGCAGCAGCAGCCACCAAUGAGCCUUGAACUAACUCUUCAGAAAGGGUGACCUGGCCCCACUUCUUUCAGGAGCAGGCUUUGGUCCUCUUAUAAGGAACUUUGCCCGAUUUUGCAGGCACUUGCUUGAGGGGCUGAAAUUAAGUGGUAUGUUCACUACCCUUCAAGCAAGUUCCAUGCCAUACGAUCUUGGCCAAGGGCAAGAGGACUCUUUCUAUGUUUAUUUCUCUCUCUCUCUCUCUCUCCAAGAUUACAUAUGUGUGUCGUAUGGACAUAGCUGUAUGUGCAUUGUCAGGGGUACUGGAGAGAACUGAGUAUUUUCUUAUUGGACUUGUAUACAAUUGAAGGCUAAGGUAU